UUUGACCUACGGGAGGCAGCAGUGGGGAGUAUUGCACAAUGGGGGAAACCCUGAUGCAGCGACGCCGCGUGAGUGAAGAAGUAUUUCGGUAUGUAAAGCUCUAUCAGCAGGGAAGAAAAAAGACGGUACCUGACUAAGAAGCCCCGGCUAACUACGUGCCAGCAGCCGCGGUAAUACGUAGGGGGCAAGCGUUAUCCAGAUUUACUGGGUGUAAAGGGAGCGUAGACGGCAGUGCAAGUCUGGAGUGAAAGGCGGGGGCUCAACCCCCGGACUGCUCUGGAAACUGUACGGCUGGAGUGCAGGAG
RNAcentral lists this ribosomal RNA (305 nucleotides) under uncultured bacterium. RNAcentral describes it as "bacterial SSU rRNA". It matches the Rfam family "Bacterial small subunit ribosomal RNA", at positions 331 to 654 of the family's 1533-position model. The record is from RNAcentral.